CUAAGUUUGAUGGCGACCGGCGCACGGGUGAGUAACACGUAUCCAACCUGCCGAUGACUCGGGGAUAGCCUUUCGAAGGAAAGAUUAAUACCCGAUGGCAUAGUUCUUCCGCAUGGUAGAACUAUUAAAGAAUUUCGGUCAUCGAUGGGGAUGCGUUCCAUUAGAUAGUAGGCGGGGUAACGGCCCACCUAGUCUUCGAUGGAUAGGGGUUCUGAGAGGAAGGUCCCCCACAUUGGAACUGAGACACGGUCCAAACUCCUACGGGAGGCAGCAUG
RNAcentral lists this ribosomal RNA (275 nucleotides) under uncultured bacterium. Its description in RNAcentral is "partial 16S ribosomal RNA". It matches the Rfam family "Bacterial small subunit ribosomal RNA", at positions 79 to 353 of the family's 1533-position model. The record is from RNAcentral.